This 190-nucleotide unclassified non-coding RNA is filed under the name Metarhizium sp. RNAcentral describes it as "partial internal transcribed spacer 2". RNAcentral also lists the same sequence under 4 other names. Lineage: Eukaryota; Fungi; Ascomycota; Sordariomycetes; Hypocreales; Clavicipitaceae. The record is from RNAcentral.
CAACCCUCAAGUCCCCUGUGGACUCGGUGUUGGGGACCGGCGAGACAGCCGCGGAUCUUCUUCCGCAGCGAGUCGCCGCCCCCCAAAUGACUUGGCGGCCUCGUCGCGGCCCUCCUCUGCGUAGUAUAGCACACCUCGCAACAGGAGCCCGGCGAAUGGCCACUGCCGUAAAACCCCCCAACUUUUUCAG